Molecule: long non-coding RNA, 666 nt
Organism: Humulus lupulus (European hop)
Lineage: Eukaryota; Viridiplantae; Streptophyta; Magnoliopsida; Rosales; Cannabaceae
Exons: 3
Source: RefSeq, a predicted model, not a curated record
CAUGAAGAGGGUAGGAAAAGUCAAUUUUGGUUGCUAUUUGGUAACUAGAAAGUAGUAUUUUAGUUUUGAAUAUUUAAUGGAGAGUUAAUAUUAUUGGAAAAGUAUGCUCUAAUUUUGGUGUUUUAGUUUUGAAUAUUUAAUGGAGAGUUACUAAGUUGUAGCAAGAAGUUGAAAAUUGGAUCAUAUUGUUUGGAGUAGAAAUACAUGUGUUUUAGUGUUUUUUUUUUCAUGUAAACAGAAAAUCAUGGAUUCCCUGUACUUUUUAGCUUAAGAAAUUUGCUUGUCAUGUCUCAUUUUCUGUUUCUUGUGAACCUUUGUUAUUGACACCGAAUUAGAUGCAUUUUUUACUGACUCAGGUCAAAAGAACACUAGAAUUAAGGCACAUUAUUUAAGUUUAGACAAUGUUACAAAGAACUUGAGAAAGUUCUAUGCACAAGCUUACUUGGGACAAUCACCAAAACAAGCUCCAAAGUAUUGGCUUCAUUUUCAAGUUUCUGUACUAUCGCUUGGUUGGAAUACUUACUUUGUCUCAAAGGCAUAUAGUACAGAAAAUGGGAUCAAUGGUAGAUGAAUUGGAUCCAUGUUGAACAAUUGGAUCCAUGUUGAACAAUCAUUGGUGAACACAGGAAAGGAAAGGGCAAAAGUCAUCCUUCUUUUUACAUGGGC